RNAcentral lists this long non-coding RNA (460 nucleotides) under Prunus persica (peach). RNAcentral's name for it is "long non-coding RNA (PPER_LNC000702)". Lineage: Eukaryota; Viridiplantae; Streptophyta; Magnoliopsida; Rosales; Rosaceae. The record is from RNAcentral.
GGAGUUGUAACGAGAAAGUUAUGGUCAAAAGAGUCUCAGUGGCACAACCGUAAAUAUUUCAAAGUUGGAAUUAUAAAAACAGCCCAGCUCUCUCUCUUUCCUCGCGCGACCCUCAAUCUCUCCUCUCCCGCGCGGACGGCCCGUCGCCUUCCAGAGAUCGCCGGCGCCGCCUCAGGGCACCACCGGCUACGGGACCGGUGGCGUUCGAACCGCCGUCGAGUCCCCUUCCUUUCCCGACCCUUCCCCGCCGGCGGCACGGCCUGUGCUGGCCGAAAAAUGCAGAAAAUGGUCGGGAGGUCACGGAAACUUCAACGCCGUCGAUCUCCAUCCUCCGGUCACCAUUCCCGUCGACCUAGGAUCUUGAACCUCUCGAGCUGUUCUAGCUGCCUGUUGGGUAGGAUUAGAUCGAUUCGUAGUGUAGCUAUUGGAUUUUUGAGCUUGAAGUUUCAGCCGAUUUUCG